This 413-nucleotide ribosomal RNA is filed under the name uncultured microorganism. Its description in RNAcentral is "bacterial SSU rRNA". It matches the Rfam family "Archaeal small subunit ribosomal RNA", at positions 330 to 745 of the family's 1478-position model. The record is from RNAcentral.
GUGCAGCAGGCGCGAAACCUCCGCAAUGCGGGAAACCGCGACGGGGGACCCCGAGUGCCGUGGCAAUGCUACGGCUUUUCCGGAGUGUAAAAAGCUCCGGGAAUAAGGGCUGGGCAAGGCCGGUGGCAGCCGCCGCGGUAAUACCGGCGGCCCGAGUGGUGGCCGCUAUUAUUGGGCCUAAAGCGUCCGUAGCCGGGCCCGUAAGUCCCUGGCGAAAUCCCACGGCUCAACCGUGGGGCUUGCUGGGGAUACUGCGGGUCUUGGGACCGGGAGAGGCGAGGGGUACCCCUGGGGUAGGGGUGAAAUCCUAUAAUCCCAGGGGGACCGCCAGUGGCGAAGGCGCCCCGCUGGAACGGGUCCGACGGUGAGGGACGAAGGCCAGGGGAGCAAACCGGAUUAGAUACCCGCGUAGU